RNAcentral lists this ribosomal RNA (462 nucleotides) under uncultured Klebsiella sp. Its description in RNAcentral is "bacterial SSU rRNA". It matches the Rfam family "Bacterial small subunit ribosomal RNA", at positions 338 to 795 of the family's 1533-position model. The record is from RNAcentral. Lineage: Bacteria; Pseudomonadati; Pseudomonadota; Gammaproteobacteria; Enterobacterales; Enterobacteriaceae.
CCUACGGGGGGCAGCAGUGGGGAAUAUUGCACAAUGGGCGCAAGCCUGAUGCAGCCAUGCCGCGUGUGAAGAAGGCCUUCGGGUUGUAAAGCACUUUCAGCGGGAGGAAGGCGUUAAGGUUAAUAACCUUGGCGAUUGACGUUACCCGCAGAAGAAGCACCGGCUAACUCCGUGCCAGCGGCCGCGGUAAUACGGAGGGUGCAAGCGUUAAUCGGAAUUACUGGGCGUAAAGCGCACGCAGGCGGUCUGUCAAGUCGGAUGUGAAAUCCCCGGGCUCAACCUGGGAACUGCAUUCGAAACUGGCAGGCUAGAGUCUUGUAGAGGGGGGUAGAAUUCCGGGUGUAGCGGUGAAAUGCGUAGAGAUCUGGAGGAAUACCGGUGGCGAAGGCGGCCCCCUGGACAAAGACUGACGCUCAGGUGCGAGAGCGUGGGGAGCAAACAGGAUUAGAUACCCGGGUAGUC